Molecule: RNase P RNA, 360 nt
Filed under: uncultured Treponema sp.
Lineage: Bacteria; Pseudomonadati; Spirochaetota; Spirochaetia; Treponematales; Treponemataceae
Description: Bacterial RNase P class A
Rfam family: Bacterial RNase P class A
About the family: Ribonuclease P (RNase P) is a ubiquitous endoribonuclease, found in archaea, bacteria and eukarya as well as chloroplasts and mitochondria. Its best characterised activity is the generation of mature 5'-ends of tRNAs by cleaving the 5'-leader elements of precursor-tRNAs.
Source: RNAcentral
CGCAGUUUUUUAUGAUAAAAACUUGCGGUGAGGAAAGUCCGGGCUCCACCGGAAAAAUGCCGGAUAAUAACCGGGCUGACAAUGGCAGAUGUAAUUUAUUGCAUAUCCCUUGUUGGACAGACAGUGCAACAGAAAAUAAACCGCCCGUAAGGGUAAGGGUGAAAAGGUGGUGUAAGAGACCACCGUACAAUCUGGUAACAGAUGUAGCAGGUAAACCUCAUUUGGAGCAAGACCGUAUAGAAGUUGGUUUCCGGGCUGUAUACUUCGGGUAGGUUGCUAAAGCCAUCUGGCAACAGAUGGUUCGGAUAGAUGGUUACGGACUGCGAAAGCAGUUGACAGAACCCGGCUUAUUUUCCCGUC